UUGAACGCUGGCGGCAGGCCUAACACAUGCAAGUCGAACUGUAACAGGAAGAAGCUUGCUUCUUUGCUGACGAGUGGCGGACGGGUGAGUAAUGUCUGGGAAACUGCCUGAUGGAGGGGGAUAACUACUGGAAACGGUAGCUAAUACCGCAUAACGUCGCAAGACCAAAGAGGGGGACCUUCGGGCCUCUUGCCAUCGGAUGUGCCCAGAUGGGAUUAGCUAGUAGGUGGGGUAACGGCUCACCUAGGCGACGAUCCCUAGCUGGUCUGAGAGGAUGACCAGCCACACUGGAACUGAGACACGGUCCAGACUCCUACGGGAGGCAGCAGUGGGGAAUAUUGCACAAUGGGCGCAAGCCUGAUGCAGCCAUGCCGCGUGUAUGAAGAAGGCCUUCGGGUUGUAAAGUACUUUCAGCGGGGAGGAAGGGAGUAAAGUUAAUACCUUUGCUCAUUGACGUUACCCGCAGAAGAAGCACCGGCUAACUCCGUG
This 489-nucleotide ribosomal RNA is filed under the name uncultured bacterium. RNAcentral's name for it is "partial 16S ribosomal RNA". It matches the Rfam family "Bacterial small subunit ribosomal RNA", at positions 30 to 507 of the family's 1533-position model. The record is from RNAcentral.